GAUGACUGCAACCAGACCUGAAAAGCUACAUGGAUGGUUGUCUCUCCUCUUGUCCCAUUUUUGUGUCCUCACUACCACCAAAUCAUAUGACUGGUAUCACCAAAGAAUCCUAUCAUGAGCUAGGCCUUGGCAUAUUUAACUGUCUUCACCUCAUCACCUUCAAGUGAAACACCCAUAAAAGAAAAGAGAUGAAGUAACCAAAGCUUGUGAUUUUUUGGAGGCCAAGAAUGGUUGAUCAGGUUAUGGUGUUGAAGAACUACAAUCAAACGUAAGCUAUGAUGAAAGCUAGCUUGAAGCCAACAGGAAUGAGGUAGUGAAGGUUCAACCUCAUCGCCCAAGAAUAAAGAAAAAAGCCCUCCAUUGACUGGUAUAAAUACACGUUUGUGAGGAGGAGCAAAGAGACAGGGAGAAAAUUCUGUGAAGCUAAAGAUAGGAGCCCUCCUUUUUUGUUUCAUCUAGUGGUCUGUAGCUUUCCGACACUCUGGACCACAACAUAAGUUUGGAUCAAGACUUUCUCUCAAGGCUUGGCAUUGCUGGGACUACAACAAGAAAUGAAAGAAAAAGCUUCAGCAGGGGCAUGGCUAAGUGUUAGAAACACUGGCUCUCAAUUCAAUGUGUGUCCUAAAAAGCAUUAGUUCAUGACUCAUACACACUAUGGCCGGUCUUAUGAGUGCAUCAAAGGUUAAGGAUAUUUCAUAGUAGAGUAUGAAAUCUGAAAGAGUAUUGUGGUGGAAUGUAUUUAAUCAUCUUCAACCAGGUUGAUGAUGCAUUUUGAUGUCAACAGGUAAACUAUACUAAACUAUUCUCAUCAGUUUGAGCAUGCUAGGUGGUUAGCUACCUCAUCCUUGUCUAUAUCACAUCUAAGCAACAAUAUCAAAUUCAAAGAAGAAUUAUUUAAUGUGGACUGUAGGAGUUCUGUUGUUCAAUCCUGAAAAAGACUCUUGUUGGAAAGAAUACCAAUACAAAUUGUUCUCUCCCAUUUGAUCUUUUGGAAGGUCCACUGUCUACUGCCCAUAUUUAAUGUAAAGAAACUUGGAGCUGGAAUGUGACACAGAAAGGUAUGGCUAGUUCUAAGAACCUACCAGGGAAGGUAUGAACUCUGCAGAUAUGAGCAGCAAAUCACAUGGUGCAGGGAGAAACAGAGUGUGUCAUGCAGGCUUGUUUUGAGUGCAAAAAGGCUGGACAAACAUCAAGGUUGUUCUUUUAUGAUGGCAAGUAAAUCUAUGAAAAGAGAUGAUCAUAGUUCACCACCCACUUCUUCUCUUCUUCACCAGAACUCUGAGCAGGAUCUAUUAUUGCCAUCGUUUGGAUUUGACGGUGUGAUCUACAACUAGAUCUACAUCUCGGCAGCCAUGGAAAGCCAGAUGCCCUUUCCGCAAGAAGGUAGCACCAACCAAAUGCAACACACUGCUGUGGCUGAGGCUGAGGGGUUCCCCUGUCUCACCUCAUGAUGCCGGUUCCCGAGCUCCACCUGCAGCCUCCUAAUGAUGUUAUCUCCCACGAACACCAUGUUGUCAUAUUGCUGCCAUCAAUGGGAUUGCCAGUCGAAGGGCCCCAUCGGUCUAUCCACCAACGAUACAAUCCGUGCACCUAUAAUAGCAGAGCAACCUGGUCUUCUGGCCUUUCUAAGA
Molecule: long non-coding RNA, 1631 nt
Organism: Musa acuminata AAA Group (dessert banana)
Lineage: Eukaryota; Viridiplantae; Streptophyta; Magnoliopsida; Zingiberales; Musaceae
Exons: 3
Source: RefSeq, a predicted model, not a curated record